Molecule: non-coding RNA, 136 nt
Organism: Mustela putorius furo (domestic ferret)
Lineage: Eukaryota; Metazoa; Chordata; Mammalia; Carnivora; Mustelidae
Source: Rfam
CAAUGGCCACACUAUCCUGAAUGGACCCAAUCUUGUCUCACCUUCGAAGCUAAGUAGGGUUGGGCCUGCUUAGUACUUGUAUGGGAGAGGAAGCUUGUGUUCUUUGGCUUCUUGAGAAUAUCUGGUUUCACUUUGU